This 636-nucleotide long non-coding RNA is filed under the name Malus domestica (apple). RNAcentral describes it as "long non-coding RNA (MDOM_LNC015291)". The record is from RNAcentral. Lineage: Eukaryota; Viridiplantae; Streptophyta; Magnoliopsida; Rosales; Rosaceae.
GAUUCUAAAGAGGGAAGGGGAAAUAAUAAGAAAUUUACAUUUGGAUAUGUUGAAAGAUUUUUAAUUUUUUAUCUCUUCAAAAUUGUAUCAACUCAAGUAGGUUCGGCAUUUUCCGACAAGCCUCGGCAACAAGGCUUGAUAUAUCUCGCCAGCUCACGGCAUUUCUCAGCAAGCCUUUACCAAUCAUGCACAACCUGUACUUCUAAAAUGACCUCGUCAAAACAAUGUCAUUUUGGGGUCUUGAUAAUAUGUAUUUUUCUUCUAUCAUCUCAGCUCGAGUCUCCAAUUCCCCCUACCCCCUCCUCCCCAAAAUAGUGUGGGAUGUUCACACAUUAUUUAAGUUUUUCUGACACCCCUUUUUAUUUUGGUUACAGAAUUUAAUAAAUCAAAUGAUAACAACUAAUAUAAAUAAGUAAUGGUGUGUGGGAAAUCAAAAGAAGUAUGUGUUUUAUCAUUUCCCACAAAAAAAUUCCUCCAAUCUUCUCCAAAGCUCUUAAUUCUAUAGGUUGAUGUAAUCACUUGUUUCUUUAAGAAAUAUAAACAAGAAGGUGAAGAACACAUAACUGUAGAGCAUGCAUUAAUUCGAUGCAAGUGUUCCACCAUCCACCUGGGCCUUUUUGAAUGAACGUUGUAUAG